GCAGUAUCACGCGGUGGCGCCAUCUCGCCCUGCCGUGGAGGGCUGGGGGUUCUCUCCGGGAGGUGGCGCAGCCCCGUUGCUCUUUCAACGGAAGAAGGAGACAAGCUCAGAGCCACGAAGCCACCAGCCACAGUCAACAAUGUGCCGAAGGGACAAAGCAUAGAUUGGGACCCAGGUCUGUCUGUCCCCAAAGCCUGUACUCUUGGCCCCAGGGAAACACUGCUACCCUUCACACCAGCUACAAUUUUUGUUAAGUAAACCUUUUAUUGAAGUUAAAUAAAGAGAAGAGCACAAAUCAUUACAGCUCGACAAAAUUACACAAAGUGAACAUGCCCAUACAACCUGAAUCCAGAUCGCAAAACCAAACAGUAGAAGCCUCAUGUGCUCCCCUUUCCCCCAUCCCUUCUUCUCCCCCCUCCACUCCCCGCCCCGAGACGGAGUCUCACUCUGUUGCCCAGGCUAAUAUUUGUAUUUUUAGUAGAGACAGGGUUUCACCAUGUUGGCCAGGCCGGUCACAAACUCCUGACCUCAAGUGAUCUGCCUGCCUUGGCCUCCCAAAGUGCUGGGAUUAUAGGCGUGAGCCACCACAUCCGGCCUCCCGAUCCCUUCUAAAGGUUAUCAUUCAUCUGUUUUUUUCUUUUUUUUUUAAGAGCUAGAGUCUCUGUCGCCCAGGCUGGAGUGCAGUGGCACGAUCAUAGCUCACUAGAGUCUCCAACUGCUGGCCUCAAGCUAUCCUCUCUCCUCAGCCUCUGAAAGCACUGGGAUUACAGGCAUGACCCACCCCAUGUAGCCUUUAAAAAUAUAUCUUUUGAAAGAGAUUCUUGCUCUGUUGCCCAGGCUGGAGUGCAGUGGUGAGAUCACUACUCACUCCAGGUUCAACCUCCCAGACUCAAGCAAUCCUAUACCUCAGCUUCCCAAGCACCUGGAACUACAGGCGUGUGCCACCACGCCUUGCUAAUUUUAAAAUGUUUUUUGUAGAGAUAGGGUUUCGCUGUGUUGCCCAGGCUGGUCACGAACUCCUGGACUCAGAUGAUCCUCCCACUUCAGCCUUCCAAAGUGCUGGGAUUACAGACAUGAGCCACUGUGCCUGGCUGGACUCGCCCUGACUUGUAACAGCUGGGUUACUUUUGUUUGUUUUGAAUUCUCCUUCUCUCUAGACCAGUACUCUGUGUACUGUGUUUGGUUUCUUUUAGUUAAUGUUGUUUUUGUGAGAUUCAUGCAUACCGUGUGUAGAAAUAGUUCUUUCAUUUUCAUUCUGGAUGGUUUCCAUUUUAUGACUAUGCCCUAUACCUCAGACUGGAUAUUUUCCAGUUUAGGGGUGUUAUAGUGCUAUUGUUACUGGGGGUCCUUGUUCUUAGAGCUCCCAAGAUGGUGGUGGGCCGCUUCCAAGAUGGCAGUAAGUCUCUUGUUCUCUGACCUGGGGUUCUUGGCCUCACGGAUUCCAAGGAAUGGAAUCUUGGGCCAUGCGGUGAGUGUUAUAGCUCUAUUCAGCUCGAUUAGGAGGAACCCCGGGCACUUAGCCCGCGCAAGAACAAUGGUGAGCCUCUAGCCCAAUUGGGAGCGGCAAUGGGUGCCGCCUCGCUGGAUCAGAAGUGCAGUGGACACCCGGAUCCGGAGGGGUGGAAGUCAGCGGCAGGUCUGCCACAGCUGCCAUGGCAGCAGACAGCAGCGGUGGACAGUGAGCGAAAGCUCAGCUCAAGCCAUAACAAACACAGACCAGAAGAGUGUACAGUUGCAAGGUUUAAUAGAGUGAAAACAGAGCUCCCAUAAAAUGGGAGGAGACCCAAAGGGGAUUGCCUUGCGGGCUCCAGUGCUGGGUUAUAUCCCGCCGAUCAUUGUCCCUCUCUCUGUGCUCUCAGGCGUUAGAUGAUUGGCUAUUUCUUUACCUUCUGUUUUUGCCUAAUUCGCAUUUUAGUGAGCUCUCUUUACUACCUGAUUGGUUGGGUGUGACCUAAGUGGCAAGCCCCUUGUUUAAAGGUGGAUGCGGUCACCUUCCCAGUUGGCUUAGGGAUUCUUAGUCGGCCUAGGAAAUCCAGCUAGUCCUGUCUCUCACUAUGAAUAUUCUAGUACAUUUCUUUGGACAAACUUACGUAUUCAUUUCUUCUGAAAAUAGAUCCCCCUCCCAAAGAAAAACAAAAACAAAAACAAAAUAGACCCAAGUGUGGAAUUGCUGGUCGUAGGGCAGGUAUGUGUUUAGCUUUAGUAGACACUGUCAGACUGUAUUAAUUUACACUCCCACCAUUUGUAUGUAUACUCUUGAUAUUUUGUGUGUUUGGACAUUGUUUUCUAUUUGGUGGAUGGAUCAUGGGUUGUCACACGAGACACCACUUGCGCAUUCACUUUUGGCCAGGAAAAUUCCAAACCAUGAUCUCAUAACAGCCCUCAGAGGUAGGUUUGCUUUUCCUCAUUUUACAAAUGAAACUGAGGUGCAGACAGGGGAAAGCCACUUCCAUUAAGUUACAAAGAGAAUUGGUGGCUCCUGCUCAGUGGAGAUCACUGAGUAGGGAGGAUCACUCUGCUGGGAGAACCCAGAGAUUCAUUAGAUCUGGCUCCUGCCUUUCUUAAAGUCCUAGUGUCUGUGUUUCCACAAAAAAAAGGAAAACGACAAUGACAAUAAAUCUUUUUGUUUUCCUCUGCAUGAGCAACUCUUAAUUCUGUAAGUUUUUUUUUUUUUUUUGAGACAGAGCCUUGCUCUGGCGCCCAGGCUGGAGUGCAGUGGCACAGUCUCGGCUCACUGCAACUCUGCCUCCCAGGUUCAAGUGAUUCUCAUGCCUCAGCCUCUGGAGCAGCUGGGACUACAGGCGUGGGCCACCACACCUGGGUAAUUUUUUGUAUUUUUAGUAGAGACGGAGUUUCGCCAUGCUGGCCAGGCUAGUCUCAAAUGCCUAACCUCAAGUGAUCUACCCUCCCAAGCCUCGAAAAGUGAUGGGAUUAUAGGCGUGAGCCACCGUGCCUAACAUGGGCAAUUCUUAAUUCUGUAUCCCAGGUUUCUACCUUACACCCAAAAGGCAACCUUGAUUUUUACUUGAGACUUAGAAUCUAUUACUUAAAAUGGAAUCCAUCAUCUUGCCCCUGGCCUCCCAUCCUCCCUGUUUCCAGGCUUCAGACUGAAACUCAUCUGAGAGCUUUGCCUUUAUUCCCCUAAGCCCAAAUAAUUGCCAGGUUCUCUCUGGCCCCUUUGGUAAUGACAAAUCAGUGUAUCCCUUUGGAAUUUUUAUGGAUAAUAAUCAUAAAUAACCAUUUCCUGAACACUGACUAUUGUCAACUAAGACAAAAAUCAGGCCAAGUGCUCAUUCCUGCUCCUAUAAUCAUCUCAGCACUUUGGGAGGUGCAGGCAGGAGGGUUGCUUGAGCCCAGAAGCUCAAGACCACCCUGGGCAACAUAGUGAGACCAAAAAAUGUUUAUAAAAAUUAACCCAGCAUGGUCG
RNAcentral lists this long non-coding RNA (3427 nucleotides) under Homo sapiens (human). RNAcentral's name for it is "HSALNT0397922". The record is from RNAcentral. Lineage: Eukaryota; Metazoa; Chordata; Mammalia; Primates; Hominidae.